AGCAGCCGCGGUAAUUCCAGCUCCAAUAGCGUAUAUUAAAGUUGUUGCAGUUAAAAAGCUCGUAGUUGAAUUUCGGGAUCAGUACGCUGGUCGUGCCUUUGGUAUGUACUGGUGUCACUGAUUCCUCCCUUCUGAAGAACCGUUAUGCCAUUUAUUUGGUGUGGCGGGGAAUCAGGACUGUUACUUUGAAGAAAUUAGAGUGUUUAAAGCAGGCUCGCGCUUGAAUACAUUAGCAUGGAAUAAUGAAAUAGGACGUUUGAUCUUAUUUUGUUGGUUUCUAGGAUCGACGUAAUGAUUAAUAGGGAUAGUUGGGGGCAUUAGUAUUCAAUUGUCAGAGGUGAAAUUCUUGGAUUUAUUGAAGACUAACUACUGCGAAAGCAUUUGCCAAGGAUGUUUUCAUUAAUCAAGAACGAAAGUUAGGGGAUCGAAGACGAUCAGAUACCGUCGUAG
Molecule: ribosomal RNA, 450 nt
Filed under: uncultured Glomeromycotina
Lineage: Eukaryota; Fungi; Glomeromycota
Description: SSU rRNA
Rfam family: Eukaryotic small subunit ribosomal RNA
Source: RNAcentral